Molecule: non-coding RNA, 889 nt
Filed under: Apocryptodon punctatus
Lineage: Eukaryota; Metazoa; Chordata; Actinopteri; Gobiiformes; Gobiidae
Description: partial 12S ribosomal RNA
Rfam family: Bacterial small subunit ribosomal RNA
Source: RNAcentral
ACCCCUGUGAGAAUGCCCUAAUUAUUUUCCCACCCGGAAAAAAGGAGCAGGCAUUAGGCACAACCCCAAGUUAGCCCAUGACGCCUUGCUUAGCCACACCCCCAAGGGAUUUCAGCAGUAGUAAACAUUAAGCUAUGAGUGAAAACUUGACUUAGUUAAAAUCAAGAGGGCCGGUUAAACUCGUGCCAGCCACCGCGGUUAUACGAGAGGCCCAAGUUGAUGGAUCCACGGCGUAAAAAGUGGUUAGUACAUUAUUUAACUAAAGCCAAACACCUUCAAAGUUGUCAUAUGCUAUCGAAGGCAGGAAGAGCCCCCACGAAAGUGGCUUUAUAUAGUACAACUCCACGAAAGCUAGGGAACAAACUGGGAUUAGAUACCCCACUAUGCCUAGCCCUAAACACAGGUUAUAUAUUACACCCCUAUUUGCCAGGGAACUACGAGCCGCAGCUUAAAACCCAAAGGACUUGGCGGUGCUUUAGACCCCCCUAGAGGAGCCUGUUCUAGAACCGAUGACCCCCGUUAAACCUCACCCUCUCUUGCAAAUUUCCGCCUAUAUACCGCCGUCGUCAGCUCACCCUGUGAAGGCCCUAAAGUGAGCACAAUUGGUAAUGCCUAAAACGCCAGGUCGAGGUGUAGCCUACGAGAGGGGAAGAAAUGGGCUACAUUCACUGCCUCAGUGAACACGGAUGGUGUCCUGAAACAAACAUCUAAAGGAGGAUUUAGCAGUAAGGGGUAAAAUAGAGUGUUCCCCUGAAAUUGGCCCUGAAGCGCGCACACACCGCCCGUCACUCUCCCCGAACAAAUUUGCCCAGAUAAAUAAACAACCAUUUAAAGAAAGGGGAGGCAAGUCGUAACAUGGUAAGUGUACCGGAAGGUGCACUUGGAUAAA